This 238-nucleotide ribosomal RNA is filed under the name uncultured bacterium. RNAcentral describes it as "partial 16S ribosomal RNA". It matches the Rfam family "Bacterial small subunit ribosomal RNA", at positions 524 to 758 of the family's 1533-position model. The record is from RNAcentral.
UACGUAGGGUGCGAGCGUUGUCCGGAAUUAUUGGGCGUAAAGAGCUUGUAGGUGGUUUGUCGCGUCUGCUGUGAAAAUCCGAGGCUCAACCUCGGACUUGCAGUGGGUACGGGCAGACUAGAGUGGUGGUAGGGGAGACUGGAAUUCCUGGGUGUAGCGGUGGAAGUGCGCAGAUAUCAGGAGGAACACCGGUGGCGAAGGCGGAUCUCUGGGCCAUUACUGACGCUGAGGAGCGAAA